This is a long non-coding RNA of Zingiber officinale, 933 nucleotides long. RefSeq lists it as uncharacterized. The transcript has 4 exons. NCBI's taxonomy places the organism in Eukaryota, Viridiplantae, Streptophyta, Magnoliopsida, Zingiberales, Zingiberaceae. The record is from RefSeq and is a predicted model, not a curated record.
UUUUAAAUCACAUUUUCAUAUUUGACUUAAUGUGUAGUGUCCAUCUCCAUUCAGUCCCUUAGUAGAUCAAGAAUGUCAUGCUAUAGAAUGUACCUCUUUUUUUAUUGGAGAAGAUGAUUCUGUUUCCAUUUUGAUAUCAGGUUCAUAAGCAGGGUGUUGCACUUGGAAGAUCUGUUGACUUGACAAAGUUUGAUGGUUAUGACCAAUUGAUCGAGGAGUAAGAUCAGUUAUUUGAAUUCAAAGGAGAAUUGAUGGCUCCAAAUAAAAAUUGGAUGAUUGUAUUUACUGAUAAUGAGGAUGAUAUGAUGCUUGUUGGAGAUGACCCUUGGCAGGAAUUUUGUGCUAUGGUCCGUCAGAUUUUUAUAUACACAAAAGAGGAGGUCCAAAAGAUGGAUUCAAGUACCUUGAACCCAAAAAAUGAAGAUUGUCCUGAUAUGAAAGAGAAUGUCAAGGAAACAAAAGGCAGUCAAUCUGCAUCAUCAUCUAAUUCAAAAAACUCAUAGGCUUAUCCUGCAAUGAUCUUGAAGCACAAACAAAGUGAUUGUUUGUGUUUUAUCUAAGUGAUUGUUUGAACAGUUUUAUAGCAUGCAUCUUGACAAUUAAUAUAAUUUUGAAGAUCACUAUCAAGGAAGAAUGUUCAAAGGAAAGUAAAGGCUAAGGAGAAGAUCACGUAAUUAACUACACGGGUCUAGUGAAAAUACUGAAGAAGUAUGACAAGAGAACAGGAGCACUUAUCAGGCAGCCCUUCAUCGAAAAGGUACUGCAGCAGCCAUUCUUUACAACUGAUCUCCUAUACAAACUCGUGAAGGAGUGUGUGGCUAUGCUCGACCACCUCUUCCCCAGUAAUAACCUGUCAAUUUCAGCAGAAUGCGACGGACAAAAUGGAGUGCCAAAGCCGGCAUAAUCAGGUGGGAGGGUUCCGGAGUUGGAGGA